RNAcentral lists this ribosomal RNA (1446 nucleotides) under Limosilactobacillus fermentum. Its description in RNAcentral is "bacterial SSU rRNA". It matches the Rfam family "Bacterial small subunit ribosomal RNA". Lineage: Bacteria; Bacillati; Bacillota; Bacilli; Lactobacillales; Lactobacillaceae. The record is from RNAcentral.
ACAUGCAAGUCGAACGCGUUGGCCCAAUUGAUUGAUGGUGCUUGCACCUGAUUGAUUUUGGUCGCCAACGAGUGGCGGACGGGUGAGUAACACGUAGGUAACCUGCCCAGAAGCGGGGGACAACAUUUGGAAACAGAUGCUAAUACCGCAUAACAGCGUUGUUCGCAUGAACAACGCUUAAAAGAUGGCUUCUCGCUAUCACUUCUGGAUGGACCUGCGGUGCAUUAGCUUGUUGGUGGGGUAAUGGCCUACCAAGGCGAUGAUGCAUAGCCGAGUUGAGAGACUGAUCGGCCACAAUGGGACUGAGACACGGCCCAUACUCCUACGGGAGGCAGCAGUAGGGAAUCUUCCACAAUGGGCGCAAGCCUGAUGGAGCAACACCGCGUGAGUGAAGAAGGGUUUCGGCUCGUAAAGCUCUGUUGUUAAAGAAGAACACGUAUGAGAGUAACUGUUCAUACGUUGACGGUAUUUAACCAGAAAGUCACGGCUAACUACGUGCCAGCAGCCGCGGUAAUACGUAGGUGGCAAGCGUUAUCCGGAUUUAUUGGGCGUAAAGAGAGUGCAGGCGGUUUUCUAAGUCUGAUGUGAAAGCCUUCGGCUUAACCGGAGAAGUGCAUCGGAAACUGGAUAACUUGAGUGCAGAAGAGGGUAGUGGAACUCCAUGUGUAGCGGUGGAAUGCGUAGAUAUAUGGAAGAACACCAGUGGCGAAGGCGGCUACCUGGUCUGCAACUGACGCUGAGACUCGAAAGCAUGGGUAGCGAACAGGAUUAGAUACCCUGGUAGUCCAUGCCGUAAACGAUGAGUGCUAGGUGUUGGAGGGUUUCCGCCCUUCAGUGCCGGAGCUAACGCAUUAAGCACUCCGCCUGGGGAGUACGACCGCAAGGUUGAAACUCAAAGGAAUUGACGGGGGCCCGCACAAGCGGUGGAGCAUGUGGUUUAAUUCGAAGCUACGCGAAGAACCUUACCAGGUCUUGACAUCUUGCGCCAACCCUAGAGAUAGGGCGUUUCCUUCGGGAACGCAAUGACAGGUGGUGCAUGGUCGUCGUCAGCUCGUGUCGUGAGAUGUUGGGUUAAGUCCCGCAACGAGCGCAACCCUUGUUACUAGUUGCCAGCAUUAAGUUGGGCACUCUAGUGAGACUGCCGGUGACAAACCGGAGGAAGGUGGGGACGACGUCAGAUCAUCAUGCCCCUUAUGACCUGGGCUACACACGUGCUACAAUGGACGGUACAACGAGUCGCGAACUCGCGAGGGCAAGCAAAUCUCUUAAAACCGUUCUCAGUUCGGACUGCAGGCUGCAACUCGCCUGCACGAAGUCGGAAUCGCUAGUAAUCGCGGAUCAGCAUGCCGCGGUGAAUACGUUCCCGGGCCUUGUACACACCGCCCGUCACACCAUGAGAGUUUGUAACACCCAAAGUCGGUGGGGUAACCUUUUAGGAGCCAGCCG